AGGGAAUAUUGCGCAAUGGGGGAAACCCUGACGCAGCCACGCCGUGUGAGUGAGGAAGGCCUUCGGGUCGUAAAGCUCUGUCAUUUGGGAAGAAACUCCAUCCGGGGAAAGUUCGGGUGGAUUGACGGUACCAAAGAAGGAAGCACCGGCUAACUCUGUGCCAGCAGCCGCGGUAAUACAGAGGGUGCAAGCGUUGUUCGGAAUUACUGGGCGUAAAGCGUCUGUAGGCGGUGCUGAGAGUCCUAGGUGAAAUCCCCGAGCUUAACUCGGGAACUGCCUCGGAGACCUCAGUACUUGAGUACGAAAGGGGUUGCUGGAAUUCCAUGUGUAGCGGUGAAAUGCGUAGAUAUAUGGAGGAACACCUGUGGCGAAGGCGGGCAACUGGUUCGAGACUGACGCUGAGAGACGAAAGCGUGGGGAGCAAAC
This 426-nucleotide ribosomal RNA is filed under the name uncultured bacterium. Its description in RNAcentral is "bacterial SSU rRNA". It matches the Rfam family "Bacterial small subunit ribosomal RNA", at positions 356 to 773 of the family's 1533-position model. The record is from RNAcentral.